AGUGAACGCUGGCGGUAGGCCUAACACAUGCAAGUCGAACGGCAGCACAGUAAGAGCUUGCUCUUACGGGUGGCGAGUGGCGGACGGGUGAGGAAUACAUCGGAAUCUACUUUUUCGUGGGGGAUAACGUAGGGAAACUUACGCUAAUACCGCAUACGACCUACGGGUGAAAGCAGGGGAUCUUCGGACCUUGCGCGAUUGAAUGAGCCGAUGUCGGAUUAGCUAGUUGGCGGGGUAAAGGCCCACCAAGGCGACGAUCCGUAGCUGGUCUGAGAGGAUGAUCAGCCACACUGGAACUGAGACACGGUCCAGACCCCUACGGGAGGCAGCAGUGGGGAAUAUUGGACAAUGGGCGAAAGCCUGAUCCAGCCAUACCGCGUGGGUGAAGAAGGCCUUCGGGUUGUAAAGCCCUUUUGUUGGGGAAGAAAAGCAGCAGGUUAAUACCCCGCUGUUCUGACGGUACCAAAAGAAUAAGCACCGGCUAACUUCGUG
Molecule: ribosomal RNA, 492 nt
Filed under: uncultured bacterium
Lineage: Bacteria
Description: partial 16S ribosomal RNA
Rfam family: Bacterial small subunit ribosomal RNA
Source: RNAcentral